AAUUUUAUGUCUGUAUUAUUUCCUGCUUCCAUUCCCUUUUCCAGCCAGAAUUUCUACCAUCCCUGGUAACUAGAAUGCCCAGCUUGGUUCUAUGCUGGGACAUCUGCUAUAUAAGGUUGCCACACAGCUUCUCCUCAAGUCCAAGUUGAAAUGAUCAGAGCACAGAGGAAAUCCAAACCCUUUCUCCUGGCUCCUGGGCCUCAUAUCUGCUCCAGAGUCUGUGAACAUGUCUUCUGGUGAAGAUUGGAAAAAGGAAAGAAAUGGCUGAAUUCUCCAAAUACUUUAAAGAUACAACCAAAAUGAUCUGAUAAUACAUUGAUACAUAACAGAAAUAAAGUGACUAACUU
This is a long non-coding RNA of Pipistrellus kuhlii (Kuhl's pipistrelle), 347 nucleotides long. RefSeq lists it as uncharacterized. The transcript is spliced from 3 exons. Lineage: Eukaryota; Metazoa; Chordata; Mammalia; Chiroptera; Vespertilionidae. The record is from RefSeq and is a predicted model, not a curated record.